AUACUUACCUGGCAGGGAACCAUCGGUGAUCAGGAGGGCCGAGAUUUCAGGACUAGACUGUCCCAGUGCAUUUUGGGUGUGCUGAUGCCUGCAAUAUCCCAAAUUGCAGGAUACUCAACUGCAAAAUUUGUGGUGCUGGGGACUUGUUUGCACUCUCCCCGA
Molecule: small nuclear RNA, 162 nt
Organism: Mobula hypostoma (lesser devil ray)
Lineage: Eukaryota; Metazoa; Chordata; Chondrichthyes; Myliobatiformes; Myliobatidae
Product: U1 spliceosomal RNA
Exons: 1
Source: RefSeq, a predicted model, not a curated record